Molecule: long non-coding RNA, 1273 nt
Organism: Panicum virgatum (switchgrass)
Lineage: Eukaryota; Viridiplantae; Streptophyta; Magnoliopsida; Poales; Poaceae
Exons: 2
Source: RefSeq, a predicted model, not a curated record
UCCCUCCUCUUCCUCUUGUGCAGCUGCGGCGACAGGCAGCUGCCCUUCCUCUGCGAUGCGGCGCUGCCUCUCCACUCCCCACCGAUGUCGCCCCACCGUCCCAGUCCCCCGCGACCAUCCGGCCGCCAGCAGAAGUAACUGCAGCACGGCUCUGCCCGAAGCCACCAGUAGCCGGAGGGCACGGCCUUUGACCCGCUCCCCACGCCGUCGCCGGCUCCAUGGCCGCGCCUAUAGGGCGGUGCCUACACCAGCGGCAGUCGGAGCCCGGCCGUCAUCCGCCUCCCGCCGGUCGCUUUUUUCUCUUUCUCUAUUUUCUGAGUGUUUUUCGGUGAUUUUUCGUUCGUCGCUUUUGAUUACGAUUUGGGGCAGAUUUCUGGGGGCAAAUCGGUGCUAGGACAUUUGUGAUGGAGUCUAGGAUGAUCCAUUAGGAAAUUCCUCAUUUGAACACACGGAUUUGAUUAUUCCCCAAAAUUUCCCCCUUUUCUAGGGUUCCACGAAUUUCUAAAAUUGGUAACGAGUUCUUAAUAUUUUGAGGUUCCUCUGCUCGGAUCUAUUUGCUUAUGAUGUGGUGAGGUAGCGGUUUGAAUCUCUUGUCGAUUCGAGUUGUUCUGUUGGUAUUCCUGGAAUUCUUGUAGAGCUGGCCGCUGAUGUUCGUGCGGUGAGUCUUGCAUCGGGUCUCUGGCGUUGCAGAGUUUUUGCUGCUGGUCUCUUCUAGCAUUUAGAAGCCCUUUCGUCCGUAUUCUUGCAGCAGCAGCAACCUCCUAGCUUCAGCUCGCAAGCUUUCUGUUCACUUCAAGCAGCUCGUAGCUACUGUUCAGAGUACAUGCCAUCUUCUUUUCCUUUAUCUCUUUCCAUCUCUCACUCGAGCUCCUUGCUGAAUUACACUGCAGGGAAUUGGGUCAUACAACUGGGGUUAUGGAUCUGUAUGCUGCCUGUUUGAUUAUGCAGAAGACUAGCAGACAAAGACUCUGUGUUUGUGCAGGGAAGCAGUAGAGGCAGCAGGCCAACAGUUUCACACUUGUUCAGUUCAGUGACAAUCAGGAAAAACUGGGAGAAUUAGAACUGAACAAAGAGGGGUUGCUUUAGGCCUGGCAGUGAAGAAGUUGUAUGCUAAGAUGAUCUAUUUUCUAUGGUUUUAAUGUAAUGCUGGAGGGAAACUUGACAUGAUCUUAAUGUAUUUGAUGUGAUGCCUUUAUGUUCACUUCAGUUUGUUUUGUGUACAAAAUUAUGAAGAUGUAUGGAAUUGUUAUUUUGGAAUUGGGCUUCAUGUUCU